Molecule: ribosomal RNA, 776 nt
Filed under: Amaurornis phoenicurus (white-breasted waterhen)
Lineage: Eukaryota; Metazoa; Chordata; Aves; Gruiformes; Rallidae
Description: partial 16S ribosomal RNA
Rfam family: Bacterial large subunit ribosomal RNA
Source: RNAcentral
GGUUGCCUGUGAGACGAAUUUAAGUUCCACCUUAAUUUUACUCCAAAAGACCAAACCUACUUAUCCGUAGCAAAUUAAGAGCAAUUUAAAGGAGGUACAGCUCCUUUUAAAAAGAACACAAUCUCACCCAGAGGAUAAGCACUCUCUUCAUACACCUGUAGGCUUUAAAGCAGCCAUCAAUAAAGAGUGCGUCAAAGCUCCGACCCCAUAAAAAUACAGAAAUAAAUGCGACUCCCUCACCCACAACAGGCUAACCUAUCUUAAAUAGGAGCAUCAAUGCUAGAAUAAGUAACCGAGGAACCUCCUUCUGAAGCACAAACUUACAUCCCUCUAUCCAAAAUUAUUAACAGGCUCACCAAUACUACAACCAUUACAAGAACCAAGUAUUUAAUAUAUCCCCUGUUAAACCAACUCAGGAGUGCCCAAUUAGAAAGAUUCAAACCUGCAAAAGGAACUAGGCAAACCCAAGGCCCGACUGUUUACCAAAAACAUAGCCUUCAGCUCAACAAGUAUUGAAGGUGACGCCUGCCCAGUGACAUAAAGUUUAACGGCCGCGGUAUCCUAACCGUGCAAAGGUAGCGCAAUCAAUUGUCCCAUAAAUCGAGACUUGUAUGAAUGGCCAAACGAGGUCUUAACUGUCUCUUGCAAGUAAUCAGUGAAAUUGAUCUCCCCGUGCAAAAGCGGGGAUAAAUUCAUAAGACGAGAAGACCCUGUGGAACUUAAAAACCAGCAGCCACCCCAAACCACAUCUAAACCUACAAGGCUCACAACCAAAA